Long non-coding RNA from Myxocyprinus asiaticus (Chinese sucker), 1739 nucleotides. RefSeq lists it as uncharacterized. NCBI's taxonomy places the organism in Eukaryota, Metazoa, Chordata, Actinopteri, Cypriniformes, Catostomidae. The record is from RefSeq and is a predicted model, not a curated record. The transcript has 4 exons.
GUCAAAAUGUACCCGCAAAUGCAGAAGGUGUAUGCACAUUCAUCUGAACGCAAUAGAGGAGACUCUAUGCUGACAGUAAAGGGUUAAACUUUCAACGCACGGAGUCAUGUGACAAAACAACAUGGUGCUGACCACAGCAGUCUUUGGGAGAAACGGCAACAAAACUACAUCUGACUCAUCAAUCAAUAUCAGAAAACAUCAAAAGACGUUUCCAGAAACUAGUGUGAACUCGCUUCUCUGCAGAAGGGUUUCAUUCAAAGAAGAAGGAAAUGAUACGACAAAAUCCAGAGUGAUUCAUCAUGAUGUGACCUGUCUUCAUCCCUCAAAACUCUCAGCUAAGAAAAUAACUCAAUAAGACUAUUCAUCCAGCCUUGAUACUAUAAAUGGAAGUCCAAACAGACACGUUGGAGGAGCAUGUUCAUGCACAUUUAAUCCUGUCAAUCACAAUGCUUUUAAAGUUGUUCUUCAACAAUUUUUUAAUAUGUUCCUUUAGGUUCACUUAUAAUAUUAGUUAUGUUUUUUGCACAAAAAAACAGUCAUAUAAACAUGAUCAUUUCCACCCUCAUUCUGACCCUCUGUCAGAAAACGCUGUUUUGGUGCUACUUCCCCUUUAAGACUUGACAGUAAACGCCCACUGUUAUGGUUGGCUCUCCGCUCUUGACUGACCUGCUCUCGCCUCUUGGCAUCUCACUGCUCACUGCUGCUGGGCGAGGCUACAAAAGUAAUUCAAGUUAAAGUAAGCAUUGAUGUGCUGUUGAGGAGGCGGCCAGAUGCAAAUGUCUACCACAGUGUGACAUCACAAUAUGGAGGAAUAUGGAGAAAGAGUCAUUUAGGGAGACUGGUUUCAACCAGAGCGUGUGAGCGGAGCAGUAGCUACAGUGGCCCGAGCAACUGCCCCUGUGCCCACAUGGACUGAGGUGCCCCUCUGGGUGAAAUAUAGACUAUAGGCCGACAUUUAUUAAAUUAUCAAAUGAUUAGUUACGUACACAUCUGAAAUUAUGUGAUUGUAUUGUUGUGUUUUUGUAUAUAAAAUCUCGCUGUUUAUUUUGGACUGGUUUACAACUGCUGUUAGAUAAUCAGGUCUACCAGACCUUCCUUAUCAUUUGUAAUCGUCAAAUAUUUCUCUGUUAGCACAUACAGUAUGUCAUUGAACAUCUUCAAAUAAUGCCUUAAAAAAAUCAAUUCUAAAUUACCUUUAUUUACUUUAAACAAGUCAUCAAACAUGCCUCUACAUGUGAAAAAACAUAUGUGCGUUGGCACGGAAACUCGCAUACGCGAAAAUUUGCACUUUUCAAUUUAAACUGGAUCCAAGUGAUACAACCGACCCAGAAAAACACAAUCUUUUCAACUUUAAAGUUUGUUCAAAUCCUUUAUGACAAUAAUGAAAACAUGGACUGGUACCAGGAAAAAUAUUGCAGGUAAAAGUGAAAUUCAGAAUUGUUUUUCAGUUGUCUCCACAGAAUGAUUAUACUGUAGAUUUGAUACAUUAAUAGGUUUCUGAUUUAAUGCUAUCAGACUUUGGGUCUGUAAAUUAAAAUGAGCAAAUUCUCAUCUUAAUUUUGUUUUCAGUUUUAAAGGGUUUAUUAAGUUAUCCAGAAAACAGCAGUGAAUGUUUUUCUCUUUUUCAGUGGUGUUGCUUUAUUAAUAUUCCCUACAAUUUUACAUGUACAAAUCAUAUGCAGUCUAAAGGACUGUGUACAGUAGGAAUUAACCAUGGAUUUAACAAAUAAAAAAUAUUC